GACGAACGCUGGCGGCGUGCCUAAUACAUGCAAGUUGAGCGCUGAAGGUUGGUACUUGUACCAACUGGAUGAGCAGCGAACGGGUGAGUAACGCGUGGGGAAUCUGCCUUUGAGCGGGGGACAACAUUUGGAAACGAAUGCUAAUACCGCAUAAAAACUUUAAACACAAGUUUUAAGUUUGAAAGAUGCAAUUGCAUCACUCAAAGAUGAUCCCGCGUUGUAUUAGCUAGUUGGUGAGGUAAAGGCUCACCAAGGCGAUGAUACAUAGCCGACCUGAGAGGGUGAUCGGCCACAUUGGGACUGAGACACGGCCCAAACUCCUACGGGAGGCAGCAGUAGGGAAUCUUCGGCAAUGGACGAAAGUCUGACCGAGCAACGCCGCGUGAGUGAAGAAGGUUUUCGGAUCGUAAAACUCUGUUGGUAGAGAAGAACGUUAGUGAGAGUGGAAAGCUCAUCAAGUGACGGUAACUACCCAGAAAGGGACGGCUAACUACGUG
This 497-nucleotide ribosomal RNA is filed under the name uncultured bacterium. RNAcentral describes it as "partial 16S ribosomal RNA". It matches the Rfam family "Bacterial small subunit ribosomal RNA", at positions 28 to 507 of the family's 1533-position model. The record is from RNAcentral.